GUGAAAUGCGCAGAUAUCAGGAGGAACACCGAUGCCGAAGGCAGGUUUCUGGGCCACCACUGACGCUGAGGAGCGAAAAGCGUGGGGAGCGAACAGGAUUAGAUACCCUGGUAGUCCACGCCGUAAACGGUGGGCGCUAGAUGUGGGGACCCUUCCAUGGUUUCUGCGUCGCAGCUAACGCAUUAAGCGCCCCGCCUGGGGAGUACGGUCGCAAGACUAAAACUCAAAGGAAUUGACGGGGGCCCGCACAAGCAGCGGAGCAUGCGGCUUAAUUCGAUGCAACGCGAAGAACCUUACCUAGACUUGACAUAUACGGAAAACAUGCAGAGAUGUAUGGUCCUAACGGGCCGUUUACAGGUGGUGCAUGGUUGUCGUCAGCUCGUGUCGUGAGAUGUUGGGUUAUGUCCCGCAACGAGCGCAACCCUCGUUCUAUGUUGCCAGCACGUAAUGGUGGGGACUCAUAGGAGACUGCCGGGGUCAACUCGGAGGAAGGUGGGGAUGACGUCAAAUCAUCAUGCCCCUUAUGUCUAGGGCUGCACGCAUGCUACAAUGGCUGGUACAAAGGGCUGCGAUACCGCAAGGUGGAGCGAAUCCCAAAAAGCCAGUCUCAGUUCGGAUUGGGGUCUGCAACUCGACCCCAUGAAGUUGGAGUUGCUAGUAAUCGCAGAUCAGCAACGCUGCGGUGAAUACGUUCCCGGGCCUUGUAGACACCGCCCGUCACGUCACGAAAGUCGGUAACACC
This 742-nucleotide ribosomal RNA is filed under the name uncultured Actinomycetes bacterium. RNAcentral describes it as "bacterial SSU rRNA". It matches the Rfam family "Bacterial small subunit ribosomal RNA", at positions 681 to 1421 of the family's 1533-position model. Lineage: Bacteria; Bacillati; Actinomycetota; Actinomycetes. The record is from RNAcentral.